Papilio xuthus (Asian swallowtail) is the source of this 892-nucleotide long non-coding RNA. RefSeq lists it as uncharacterized. The transcript has 3 exons. The record is from RefSeq and is a predicted model, not a curated record. NCBI's taxonomy places the organism in Eukaryota, Metazoa, Arthropoda, Insecta, Lepidoptera, Papilionidae.
CUCAAAAGUUGCACUGAAAUUACAAUUAAAUACUUUGACAAUCUAAUAAAAUGGCAACGAUUUUUUAAAAUGAUAAUGCUGUUGCCAUUACAAGAAAUUAGUUCCGUACGUUCUCCACAUCUUUCAUCAGCCAACUUUAUGUCUACUGAGAGGCUCGGAGUCUACCCAUGGGCAGGGGUGACUAGGCCGUAAUCAACCACGCUAGCCCAGUGCGGGGUUAACAAAUUGAGAAAGGCCAAAUUCGAAAAGUGAAGAAUAAAAUUUAUGAUGCGGAAAUGAGGAAUGGAGUCGACGAGGGGUAUAGGUACUUUUUUAUACCACCGUUUAUCGACCAGUUUAAUAGCUUACUAAAGACGGGUUGAAUUAAAUACAUCCAUGUAUAUGCGUUGAUGUCAAAAAGUCGAAGGAAGUACAUUGUGACCUAUUGGGUAUUGGAGUGCCAUUAUAAUAUUUUGUAUGCAAAAAUACUUUGUACCUCCAUAUUUGAUGUAUAGUUUGGCAAAUCGGAAAUAUCAGAGAGUUUAAAUAAAUCUACUAAUCUUAAAGCACUGCAAAAACAAUCUUAGACCAACUAAAUUUUUGCUUACGACACGACAAAGGAAAUAGAGUUUAACAAAUCUAAAAUCAGUUCAAAUACGAUCAAUAAAUGCAAAAGUAUUUGACCUUUGAUUGUACAAAAGGUGGAAAACAGACGUUAAGGAGCAAAAAGGUGGAGUACCGAACGAAAAGGGUACGUCGAGAAAAUUGUGUAACAGCGCUCUCAAAGGUAUUCUUCCCCUUUUCGUCUAUAUCAAUUCUGAACGAAUUUCCCUCUGUUCGGCCAAAAUUGAGUUGUAAUAAGUUUCGCAUUGGUAAAGGAAAUAUAUUUUUUCAUUUAUUUAAUAGGAAAUUA